UUAGGAAUAUUGCGCAAUGGGGGAAACCCUGACGCAGCAACGCCGCGUGAGUGAUGAAGGUUUUCGGAUCGUAAAGCUCUUUCAGUAAGGAAGAAAAAAUGACGGUACUUACAGAAGAAGCACCGGCUAACUCCGUGCCAGCAGCCGCGGUAAUACGGAGGGUGCAAGCGUUAUUCGGAUUUAUUGGGCGUAAAGCGCGCGUAGGCGGUUUGGAAAGUCUGCUGUGAAAGCCCACGACUCAAUCGUGGAACUGCAGUGGAUACUACCAGACUAGAGUAUUGGAGAGGAGAACGGAAUUCCUGGUGUAGAGGUGAAAUUCGUAGAUAUCAGGAGGAACAACGAAGGCGAAG
RNAcentral lists this ribosomal RNA (350 nucleotides) under uncultured bacterium. RNAcentral describes it as "bacterial SSU rRNA". It matches the Rfam family "Bacterial small subunit ribosomal RNA", at positions 355 to 720 of the family's 1533-position model. The record is from RNAcentral.